UACGUAGGGGGCAAGCGUUGUCCGGAAUCAUUGGGCGUAAAGAGCGUGUAGGCGGCCAGAUAAGUCCGCUGUGAAAUCUCGAGGCUCAACUUCGAGCUGUCGGUGGAAACUGUCUGGCUAGAGUCCGGAAGAGGAGAAUGGAAUUCCUGGUGUAGCGGUGAAAUGCGCAGAUAUCAGGAGGAACACCAAUGGCGAAGGCAGCUCGCUGGGACGUGACUGACGCUGAGACGCGAAAGCGUGGGGAGCAAACAGG
RNAcentral lists this ribosomal RNA (253 nucleotides) under uncultured bacterium. RNAcentral's name for it is "partial 16S ribosomal RNA". It matches the Rfam family "Bacterial small subunit ribosomal RNA", at positions 524 to 776 of the family's 1533-position model. The record is from RNAcentral.